This 352-nucleotide long non-coding RNA is filed under the name Pan troglodytes (chimpanzee). RNAcentral's name for it is "long non-coding RNA NONPTRT006215". The record is from RNAcentral. Lineage: Eukaryota; Metazoa; Chordata; Mammalia; Primates; Hominidae.
CUGAGUGUUGGUGACCUGUGCUGUGAAAUAGAGAGGGACACCUACGACCUGCUGUCAGAGCCCAUCAAGAUUCCUGUGGCUGCAUUUGAAUAGCAAAAAUCCUGGCAAGAGGAGAUGAAGAUCUGGGCUAAAAACUUCACUGAGGCUAACAUCUCAGGAGGACCCUGGAGUCACAUGAGCCUGGUGGGAAUCUGCUUUGCCUCCUACCAGCUAUGUAGCGCUGGUCACACAACUUCACCUUCCUAAGCCUCAGUUUCUUGCUUUUAAAUGGAGAUGAUGAUACCUAUUUUGCAAGGUUGCUGAGUUGAUUGCAUGAGAUCACCGACGUGCACAGUAAUAAAAUAGAAAAGGC